AUUCCAGCUCCAAUAGCGUAUAUUAAAGUUGUUGCAGUUAAAACGCUCGUAGUCGGAUUUCGGGGCGGGGCGGCCGGUCUGCCGAUGGGUACGCACUGGUCGCUGCGCUCUUCUUGCCGGAGGCGCGGCCUACUCUUCACUGAGCGGGCCGUGAACUCGGCACGUUUACUUUGAAAAAAUCAGAGUGUUUCAAGCAGGCAGCUCGCUCUUGCAUGGAUUAGCAUGGGAUAAUAAAAUAGGACUUUGGUGCUAUUUUGUUGGUUUCGAACACCAGAGUAAUGAUUAACAGGGACAGUCAGGGGCACUCGUAUUCCGCCGAGAGAGGUGAAAUUCUUAGACCAGCGGAAGACGAACAACUGCGAAAGCAUUUGCCAGGGAUGUUUUCAUCA
RNAcentral lists this ribosomal RNA (389 nucleotides) under Prymnesiophyceae sp. RNAcentral's name for it is "partial small subunit ribosomal RNA". It matches the Rfam family "Eukaryotic small subunit ribosomal RNA", at positions 582 to 975 of the family's 1831-position model. Lineage: Eukaryota; Haptophyta. The record is from RNAcentral.